RNAcentral lists this ribosomal RNA (433 nucleotides) under uncultured bacterium. Its description in RNAcentral is "partial 16S ribosomal RNA". It matches the Rfam family "Bacterial small subunit ribosomal RNA", at positions 29 to 507 of the family's 1533-position model. The record is from RNAcentral.
AACGAACGCUGGCGGCAUGCCUAACACAUGCAAGUCGAACGAGACCUUCGGGUCUAGUGGCGCACGGGUGCGUAACGCGUGGGAACCUGCCCUUAGGUUCGGAAUAACUCCCCGAAAGGGGUGCUAAUACCGGAUAAUGUCUUCGGACCAAAGAUUUAUCGCCUUUGGAUGGGCCCGCGUUAGAUUAGCUAGUUGGUAGGGUAAAAGCCUACCAAGGCGACGAUCCAUAGCUGGUCUGAGAGGAUGAUCAGCCACACUGGAACUGAGACACGGCCCAGACUCCUACGGGAGGCAGCAGUGGGGAAUAUUGGACACUGGGCGAAAGCCUGAUCCAGCAAUGCCGCGUGAGUGAUGAAGGCCUUAGGGUUGUAAAGCUCUUUUACCCGGGAUGAUAAUGACAGUACCGGGAGAAUAAGCUCCGGCUAACUCCGUG